This is a long non-coding RNA of Sapajus apella (tufted capuchin), 1859 nucleotides long. RefSeq lists it as uncharacterized. The transcript has 2 exons. The record is from RefSeq and is a predicted model, not a curated record. Lineage: Eukaryota; Metazoa; Chordata; Mammalia; Primates; Cebidae.
AAAGAUCUUCUAGACCACGUUGGCAGCUACCACUGUAACUGGCCUGAAAUAUCUAUAUCUGUUCUUCUCUUAUAUUCAAGCCAAUUUGAAUGGAAAGAGAUUUCUUUAUUUCAGAUAUCCUUACUAAUUAAUGUUCUACAAUAGCAUAAACUUCUUGUGGUACAAAUUCUUUUCAUUUAAAAGUCACCAAGUGGCCGGACGCAGUGUCUCACCCCUAUAAUCCCAGCACUUUGGGAGGCCGAGGUGGGUGGAUUACCUGAGAUGAAGAGUUCGAGACCAUCCUGGCCAACAUAAGGAGCCAUCAUCUCUAAUGUAAGUCACUGAAUACUAACAGUUUAUGUUUUUUUAGUCAUACAGUUCAAAUGUCUUCUACUAAUUUUAAACAGCAUCUGGAUUUUAAAAGAGCAAAAUUCAAAAGAAAACAGCUUGAAAACCUCCACUGGAAAAAACCUGUCCAUUAAAAAACAUAAGUCUAAAGUUCAAUUCUCACCUGGUUCAAAAAAACAUUUGAAUUCACCAUAUCAUGUGUGGGAUUUUAGAAUGGAGUAGGCAGAGAAACAAAGGGAAAACAGCAACAUGUGUAAGUGAUCACCAACAAAAAGCCCGUUUCCAACUAAAAAAACAUGGCUUGUACGCAGGUCACAGAACAAAUCAGACCAAACCAAAGUGCCAAGUCACAACUUAAAGAAAAAGAAUCCAUGAGGGACCUUCGUAAGCAGAUGGAUUAGAAAGGCUAAGUUUCACUCAUGAAGACUUGAACCUAGGCUGUCUGAAAUAGCAGUCAAUAACAUUAAUAAUCAUCAUAAGGCUCUGAAAACUACAGUUGGGGAUUAGGCCAAAUGGAGAAGCAGAGGACUGAACAAGAGAAGGGACUUUCCACAGAAUUAAUGAAAACAACAAUCUGGUAAUGAGGGGGUUCUUUCUGCUGGAGUGAAAUUCCUCUACAGGGCUUUUCCUCUGUGGCUGCAUUAUUCUAGCAGUAGUUAGGAGUACAUUCUGAAGAGAAUAAAGCCAAUUUACUAUUAAAUUUGCAUUCGAAGACGGCAAUAAGCAGGUAAGAAAAAAGUGUUUUGUAAUUGAAUCACAUAAGACUACAUGGAAAGAAGUCUGGCUUAGUGAAUUAAACAUUUUCAUUGGUUAUCUUCUUAUAGUAGAGUGUUUCCCAUUGAACACACCUUUAUGAACUAUCUUUUCUGAAUAAUGUAGCCAAGUUGUUCAAAAUCAAGAAUGUUAGCUUCCCUGGAAUGCUUGUCCAAUUUUUUUAUUGCCUUUCAAUUUUAUCAGCUUGCCAGCACAUAAGUAACCCACAAGUAGCCCACCAAUAACCCAGGACACAAAUCUGUCCAAAAACUGAUCUGCUCUUUCUUCUAUCUAAACAAUAAGAGUUCUGGUAAGGAUCACAUACGUAUUUAGUUACUGAUAUGUCCUUUGUUGUAUGUCUUACAGGCUUCAUCAUAACCUCUAUUAGAUCAAAUUAUACGUGGUAUGGAAGAGGAGAAAGAGUGUGGGAUGCUGCCGUAAUUAGCCUUGGGUAACCAGAGAGGAAGGAACAGAAAAAAAAAAAAUCAACAAAAAUAAAUAGGGAGCUCUUACUCCAUGUGAGACACUGCGUUAGACAUGGUGGGCCAUAGAAACAAGUUUAGGAUCGAGUUCCUGUCGUUAGGAAUCUCUCAGUCUAUGUGGAGCUGAUGGAAAUACAGCAUCAUCACUUGAAGCCUGAAUUUUGAACAAGUACGUUAACAAAAGGCCAAAGACGUAUCACUAAGAACCCUGAAUUAAGAAUGGCAUCCUUCCACUACUCUCAGCUGGAAAGAAAUAAAAUUUACGAGGGACACAUGAGAAUGUACUCAGAUCUGGAA